RNAcentral lists this transfer RNA (71 nucleotides) under Microbacterium sp. SGAir0570. Its description in RNAcentral is "tRNA-Ala". The record is from RNAcentral. Lineage: Bacteria; Bacillati; Actinomycetota; Actinomycetes; Micrococcales; Microbacteriaceae.
GGGCCUGUGCCACAGCUAGUAGCGCACGUGCAUGGCAUGCAGGGGGUCAGGGAUUCGAGUCCCUCAGGUCC